This 484-nucleotide ribosomal RNA is filed under the name uncultured bacterium. RNAcentral's name for it is "partial 16S ribosomal RNA". It matches the Rfam family "Bacterial small subunit ribosomal RNA", at positions 30 to 507 of the family's 1533-position model. The record is from RNAcentral.
AUUGAACGCUGGCGGCAGGCCUAACACAUGCAAGUCGAGCGGCUGCACAGUGCUUGCUCCUGCAUUCAGCGGCCGACGGGUGAGUAAUGCCUAGAUAUCUCCCUGGCUGCGGGUGAUAAGGUCCGGACGUGGGCGCUCAUACCCCAUUCGUCCUUAGGGCGAACGUGGGGGAUCUUCGGAUCUUCCGCUCUCACAUGAGCCGAGGUCGGAUUAGCUAGUUGGUGGGGUAAAGGCCUACCAAGGCGACGAUCCGUCACUGGUCUGAGAGGAUGAUCAGCCACACUGGAACUGAGACACGGUCCAGACUCCUACGGGAGGCAGCAGUGGGGAAUAUUGGACGAUGGGCGAAAGCCUGAUCCAGCCAUGCCGCGUGUGUGAAGAAGGUCUUCGGAUUGUAAAGCACUUUUAGUGGGGAAGAAGAGCAGUAGGUUAAUACCUUGCUGUUUUGACGGUACCAACAGAAUAAGCACCGGCUAACUUCGUG